UAAAAAGUGUUAAUAGAGUUAUUAUAGAAAACAAUUACAUGCAAACUUAUUAAUGAAUCAUGAUUUCUGCAUUAAAACGUUCACAUAUGUGCUAGCGUAUGUGCAUGGUUAGUGAAUGACACACUCUCUAAGGAGAGUCUUUCUAAAGUACACAUUCUUAUACUUAGAUUUUUGUUCGACUGAUUUCUUACCUCUUCACUCCUUACAAAAAAGUUCCCUUUGAGGGUACCACCCCAGAGACAGCCCUUGUACCUUAAAAGGUAUUUUUUGGUCUGAGAGUAUAGCUUAGCACUGUUUUCAAAACCAAACAACUACUCAUCAUAUCAUAUAAAAUUAAAAUAUAAACCUUCUUACAUCUGGAAUAGUGCAGAUCCAUGUGCUUAAUAUAAUUGGGCAAUCAAUAUAGUACAAUUCAGAUGUGAAAAUGGCAAACUCAGACACAAACAUACAACUGCAAGCAACUGUUUUGAUGAUCCAAAAUAUUUUUAAAAAGGUUACACUCAUAUUUGGCAUGCUUGCAUUGCUGAGUGAAAGGGGAAGUUUAAGUACAUAGAAUGUCAACACAGGAUGUUAUGGUGCAUUUCACUUGGAACAAUGCCGACUUCUAAAACAAUUACUAUACUGUAGUAGAUCAGUAGAUUUGAUCAGCUAGACAAUUGCUCACUUCUGUAGGAACCUAUUAAAUAGAUUUUUUAAUAUAGCUUACCUGUAUUAAAAGGUAAGGAAUCAGAACUAUGGGUAUCUGAAAUCAUCAGUAGUCAUAAUAGUAAAUUUAUUUUACUCUUUAACAGUGAACAGGAUUUAAAAACCCUACCUUGCCAAAGAAAACAUGUUACAGGGGCCUGGGUAGCUCAGUGGUAAAGACACUGGCUACCACCCCUGGAGUUCACUAGUUCAAAUCCCAGGGCGUGCUGAGUGACUCCAGCCAGGUGUAGCAAAUUAGCUUAAAAGGGAAUUAUUUAUAAUUAAUUAUAACUGGUUAUAAUUAAUAAUAAAUAUUUAGAUUAGAUCUUAGAAUUAACUGUAGCAGAAUCGAUAUUACAAUUACUUGAUCCGUCCGUCCAGCGAGCAGACAAUAUAAUUAUUUAUCAACUCUAAGAAGAUUACUUUCCUGGCCAAGGAACAAUAGCCUUCCUACUUAUACAGUGCUAGCAGUAGUUUAGCAUGUAGCAAGGAGCAACAUUCAGUGACUUUGAAUUGUGAGCGGAACACAGAGACAAUCAAUUGUGAAUAUAAGGGAUUUAAUAAAUGAAACUAUAACUAACAUACAAACAAACUAAGCAAACAUACAUAUAUAGAAUGAAGGAAUGUAAGGAAAAGAGAGAGAGAGAGAGAGAGAGCACAGAAUGGCAAUAUUUCACAUCAGUUAACCACAACCUAUAUGAGAAUCAUCAGAGGCACAAUUCACCUUAAAAGGGGUUCAAACUUAAACGCGCAUCUAAUCAGUUGUAAAUGGUUACUUGCAUUGGUUUGUUGCUGAAUAAGAGUCUUGAUGCGGUAGAUGAGGUUCUCGAUGAUUUCUUUAGGAGUGAGUUGAAGAAGUCCACAGGAAAUCCACAAAGUUACUUGACGGUAAACACUGCCAGAAGGUUAAACUCAAGAGAGAGUUUUGGAGUGGGUUGGUCUCAAGAAGAAGAAGUUUUGAGCGAUGAUUAGUCUGCGCUCUGGAGUUUUGAUAGUUCAUUGCCGCACCCAUUUUGUGGGUGGAGUGGCCAAUCAGAGGCAUGCAUUUUGAGCGGGAGAAACAUCCUUUGUCUCCGUUUAUGGCCCAUUCGCAUUUUAUUGCUGAUCUGGACCGCUAGUGCAGCUUUUAAUUCAAAACAUAGUAAGAAUUGUUCGAUGCAUUUCACGAUCACAUGGUGUACAUUAUUGUGUGAGAAAUAAAGGGAAGAUCAUUUUGAUACCAAGAAGGUAACCUCCAGACGAUAUUAAAGCAGAGAUACACUCAUACACUUGAAUAUAGGCAUUUAACGUCUAACUAAUACAAGUAAAGGGUUUUAACCAAGUUAAUAUAAUAGGGGAAUAUACAUACAACACAUGCACAUAGCAGAUACAUUUAUAACUGCUUACUAUGGCCUAAAUAGAGAAAAUGUCUUUAGGUGUGUGUGUGACGUGUAUUGGAAUUACUGGAGACAGACAACUGCUCUGGUGCCUGGCACGGGGGGGAGUCGCCCAUUAUGGUGGAAUGUGUUUGAAGCUUGAUGGAGACACUUCAGAGGAGACCUGUUUUAGCAUCCUUUUGAUAGUGAUAAAGACCAUCUGCAAUUUAGCACCCAUAUAAAUGUAAACGUGGAGGCCAGGUCAGUAAUUUAUAUGCAAAUGUCAAAAGGCUAAAAGGUUUUUUUUCAAACAAAGUUUUUUUCAAACAAAGUGUAAUUAGCCAUCACUGAUCUUACACAGACGUUACACAGGUCAACUAAGCAACCAAAUUGGCCCGGUUGCUAGGGAGGGUAGAGUCACAUGGGGUAACCUCCUCGUGAUCGCUAUAAUGUGGUUCAUUCUCAGUGGGGCGCGUGGUGAUUUGGGCGUGGAUGCCGCAGUGGGUGGCAUGAAGCCUCCACAUGCGCUAUGUCUCCAUGGCAACGCGCUCAACAAGCCACGUGAUAAGAUGUGCAGGCUGACAAUCUCAGACGGGGAGGCAACUGGGAUUCAUCCUCCGCCACCCAGACUGAGGCGAAUCACUACGUGACCACGAGGACUUAAAAAAGCACAUUGGGAAUUGGCCAUUCCAAAUUGGGAGAAAAAAAAAAAAAAAAACAUGUUACAGCUCUUUUAGUGAACAUUAUAAAUGGUGUAUCGUCAUUCAUCAUGUUGUGUUAUGAUUGCUCUUCAGGCAUCAUACUGUAACUGUGGGCAUCUAAAAUAAUCAUUAAGCUAUUUUAAAAAAUACUCUUUUAUGUUCUUUACCAGUGAACAGAAAUUUAAAACAGUCUGAUCACACUGUGAAUUCAACAAAUGUAGGUCGAAAGUUAAACUGGUCUGUGCUGAACACAAUGCGAAUCACUGCCCCCAGUGGCCGAAUUUGGAAGUUUUGUUGAAUGUAAGGGCACGCGUGAGUUUUUCUGGGUUAAGUGUCCACAGCAGUGGUGCCAAAAGCAGGAUCGGCCUAUGGGUUUGUGGGACCAAAGGCGAAAUCAUAAAAAUGGGUCCCACCGGUGUGAAUAUUGUCAUAACUUUAAAAUAUCCAUAGAACCUCUGCAAACAUGCUCACCCUCAUGCCAUCCCACAUGUGUGACUUUCUUUCCUCUGCAGAACACAAACAAAGAUUUUUAGAAGAAUAUUUCAGCUCUGUAGGUCCAUACAGUGUAAGUGAAUGGUGACCAAAACUUUGAAGCUCCAAAUGCAGCAUAAAAGUAAUCCAUUGGUUAAAUACAUGUCUUAAAAAAGCGAUCCAAUCGGUUUAGGGUGAAAACACCUUGUCAUUGCAGUCUCUAGACACGCUCAUGAUUACAAGCUUGAUUACACUUCCUAGAGCUUGACACGUGCACAGAGCGCUAUAGAUGGUGCUGGGAAGUGUAACUGAGUUUGAAAUCAUGAUCACCAAGGAGGCUGCUGAUGUCAAGAUUUAAGAUCUCAUAUCUGACCUUAGAACUACUGUUGCCCUGGUUUCUGAAGGUCAUGCCUGCAUAUAUCAUACUUAUUCAUUGAGAUCUUUUGUUUAGUAUCACUUUGGGACCAAGUGAAAUCUGACUUGACAAAAUUAUGAUGUAAUGUCUGUAAAGUCCUCAUUGAGCAGAUUCAUCAAAAAAAGUCAAGCCAAAGAAGACUGUGGCAAGGAACCCAAAAUUCAAAAAAUUUAAUCUGCAUUCAUCUUUACUCUAUAGUAGCUGGUGUCACACUAUGUCUUUAUCUUCUUAUCAUUUUCUCACAGACUGUCUCUUUGUUUCCUCUUUAACUUAUUCACUACUCCAAUCUAUUUGAAUCUCAUCAAGCCAGUUUCUUCAAGUAAGUGCACAAAAAUGAGAAUAUUAUUACUUACAAAAUAUUAAUAUACUGUAAUUGGAAGUGCUAUAUUCUUCACAUGUGCAUAUGGGAUACUGACACUUUCUGUAAAUGUCAGUACAUGUAAAUAUUUCAUUUUUAUAUGAACCAGUUCUUACAGCUUACCAGUUAUUCAUUUAUUUGAAAGGUGGUGGUUGUUUUUUUGACUGUACAGUUAAAAAAGGGUUUAGUAUUAUAAGAUUUGAGAACAGAAUCUUUAGUAUGUCCUGUUUUUGUCAAGACUGUGCAUGCUGGUAUUCUGUUUACCAUGUGUGUACAUGUGUAAACGUGUUCUAUAACAGUGUAAAAGGUAUGUUGUUACUUCAAGAACAUUAGGUUUUAAAUGUAGAAGUUCUACAGUUAUUCAUGCUAAGACAGGAACUACUGGACUGAUUGGGCAAUAAAGGAUGCAUGAUAUCAGUCAGUGUAUUGUGUAACUGACUGUGUUCACACAGCACAGUUUCUCUCUGUCUCAAAUCAUCAGCAGGUGUUACAGCUAAGAACUUGGGAUCUAAACAGGAGAUUAAAAUACUCUGCUUUCAGAGAGGCCAGUCUUUACUGACAGGAUGCAUUUCUGGACACCAGAGAAAAUCAUUUUUUGAGGUGUUUGGUGUAGAGAUUUCAUCAUCAGUCUGCCAGAGUAGUUUGAAGCUCUGAGUGAAUCCUGUGUGCUCAUAAAGUGUGCAUUUGGUAUGGGGGAAAGAUUUGACCAAAACCUCACUUAGAGUGCUGUGGGAAUGUGGGAAUGUGGCUUUAAGAUGAACUUCAGAAAGAGAAUGUAGUGUUUGACUCUAGACAUCCUAGUGAAAAACACUUUAAAGGGGAAAUAACUGGAAAAUUACAAGAGAAGAACUGCACCACAAUCUUUACUGACAUUAGUUCAAAUUACAAUGGAAAAGAUUACUUCAGGAUUGAGGGUAAUGGUGGACUGAAAUAUACCUACAGAACUAUAAAUGUCAUUGAAUCUCCUCAUAUCCCAUAGUGAAGUUGUAUGUGGAUCAGAUGGAGGUGCAGAGUCAUCAGGAGGUGUUGGAGGGGAGCUCUGUGAGUCUGUACUGCUCUGCUGAGACUCGCUGCUCCUCUCCUCCAGCAACUCUCACAUGGAGCUCCACUCACAGACUCCCCCUCAGUCUACAGGAGCAGCAGAGUCAAACUGAACUCAUCUCUCAUCUCAACUUCACUGCUACUCAUCUUCAACACACAGUCACUUUCACCUGCACUGUCACCUACCAGCUACAGUACAACAAUAAAACAGCACACAGCAACCUGACAUUACAUUGUUGUUCAUUGUAAUACAUUUUUGUCUGUUUCAUUGAUCUUGCAAAGCUUAGUUUUCAGUGGCAUUAUUUAUUUUCUCAUAUGUGCUCCACCUGUGUCAUAUUAUCAUUAACUCUUUCUUUAAAUUUCCCUGUUUUUCUCUUUCAGAUGCUCCCAAAAUCUCUCUCUCAUCCAGCUGUAACAGAGCUGAUUUAACUGAAGUGUGUUUCUGUGAGGUUGAUGGGAAGCCCUUUCCUAAACUGGAGUGGCAUCUGUCUGGACGUCCUGUCUCUUACUCUACAAACACGUUGAUCAGUGUAGCGUGAAUGAGCAGCACUGUCUUGAGGAGCUCCAUCACUCUACAUCACUCACUCGCACCCACUCUGCAGUGUGUCACCACCAACACCCAUGGCAAUGACAGCAAAGAGUUUGAAAAGUGAAUCCCUAUCCUCAAAAUACAUCAGGUAAUUUUCAGCUCUUUAAUUAAACAACUUCAAGCCAAACUCUCUGUAAUACAAAUACAAUUGCAUGAUUCUAGAAUUAUUCCCAUCCCAUAACUUCAAGAGUAUACAGCUCUGGAAAAAAUUAAGUCAAGUCAAACUUUAUUUAUAUAGCACAUUUAAAAACAACAGAAGUUGACC
Myxocyprinus asiaticus (Chinese sucker) is the source of this 5879-nucleotide long non-coding RNA. RefSeq lists it as uncharacterized. The record is from RefSeq and is a predicted model, not a curated record. The transcript is spliced from 4 exons. Lineage: Eukaryota; Metazoa; Chordata; Actinopteri; Cypriniformes; Catostomidae.